This 421-nucleotide ribosomal RNA is filed under the name uncultured bacterium. Its description in RNAcentral is "bacterial SSU rRNA". It matches the Rfam family "Bacterial small subunit ribosomal RNA", at positions 360 to 773 of the family's 1533-position model. The record is from RNAcentral.
AAUUGUUCACAAUGGGCGCAAGCCUGAUGACGCAACGCCGCGUGGAGGACGAAGGUCUUCGGAUCGUAAACUCCUGUCAGGCGGGACGAAGGUUUCAGGGCAAAUAGUCCUGGAGCUUGACGGUACUGCCAGAGGAAGCCCCGGCUAACUCCGUGCCAGCAGCCGCGGUAAUACGGAGGGGGCUAGCGUUGUUCGGAAUUACUGGGCGUAAAGCGCGCGUAGGCGGACCUGCAAGUCGGGGGUGAAAGCCCGAGGCUCAACCUCGGAACUGCCUUCGAUACUGCGGGUCUCGAGUCCGGGAGAGGUGAGUGGAAUUCCUAGUGUAGAGGUGAAAUUCGUAGAUAUUAGGAAGAACACCAGUGGCGAAGGCGGCUCACUGGCCCGGUACUGACGCUGAGGCGCGAAAGCGUGGGGAGCAAAC